ACCCACUCAGAGUUCAACUGCCAGAGGGAGAUUCAGUGAGGAAAUAUCAUGGGAGAUGAAACAGCAGGAGGAGAAAAAAAUCAAACAGUUUUUAAAUGGAGAGUACUUGGGCCUUUGUGACAUUCAACAACGGCUUUGUUCUUGCAGAGGAAUAGAGAAUGCUCACCUUCCAUCUCUUUUUGUGUGUGUGCUGAAUUCACACUCCCUGAAAGUCGAGGAAUACAUGGGCGAAGGAGGACGAGAACAUAAAGUACUCUGUAGCCACUUAGUGUGGACACCAGGCGAGACUACACACACACACACACACACAGUUAUAUCAGCUGUGUUGGUGUACCCCUCCCGCAUCUGAACUGGCUGACACAGGGCACAGCAUGAUCAUAGGUAUGUUUUGAUGUGAGAGAGGAAGCCAGUCCCGUCAUCGCCACCUCACCUGCUCUUAAGAUAACAUUUGGGCCGACUGGGUGCCCAAGGCUGGUUAGGAGACACCGCUAGAGACACUAUGUAAUUGUGAUGAACUGAGAAUAUUAGGGUAGCACUGUAAGUCAAUAAUCAUAUGCUGUCUUCCCUGCUCCUCUGUUUAACCUCUUUACCCUUCUGUCUUCUACACCUCUCUCCCCACCUCCUCUUUGCUCUUUGUUCCUCUUUUUUUUUAUAAUGCACACCAUAUGUGCAUUGACGUACAGAUUGAACUUGUAUUUAUAAUAUGAUAUUACAAUUAUGAUAUUUCUAAUGCAUGCAUUUAUAACACCUGGAUAAUGAACUUUCAAUAAAGCUUUUCACAUUC
Long non-coding RNA from Oncorhynchus keta (chum salmon), 784 nucleotides. RefSeq lists it as uncharacterized. The record is from RefSeq and is a predicted model, not a curated record. Lineage: Eukaryota; Metazoa; Chordata; Actinopteri; Salmoniformes; Salmonidae. The transcript has 3 exons.